Maylandia zebra (zebra mbuna) is the source of this 438-nucleotide non-coding RNA. Lineage: Eukaryota; Metazoa; Chordata; Actinopteri; Cichliformes; Cichlidae. The record is from RefSeq and is a predicted model, not a curated record.
GACCAAGAGAACUGUGGCACUCUGGAUAACGGCAGUUCAUCCAAGUCUCAUCCUAAUGAAAAUAAAGACACAGGAAAUGUCUUUGAUAAUUCUCCCAAAACCGCCAAUGGGGAGUCAGGAGUGCACCAUCACGGCAAUGGAUUAAAUGGACAAGCGUAUGGAGACUUCAAAUCCAGCCAAAAUGGGCACCACAAUGGUCAUCACAAAGUGAAUGGACACAGCGGCCCUGACAAGAUCUCUGGCAGUAAUCAUGGCAGUUUGACGUCUACGGCUCCUGUUGCUAAUGGAAUAGGCAGUGACCAUAGCCAACCAAACAAAGAUGCCUCAUCCCAGGCUAGUUCUUCUCAGAGCAUUCAUCCUGCUGCUAAUGAAAGCCAGGAUUUCUCCACUCCUGUCACAAGGGCUAAAACUCCAUCUGAACCCCUGCCUCACUGUACA